GAUGAAGAACGCAGCGAAAUGCGAUAAGUAAUGUGAAUUGCAGAAUUCAGUGAAUCAUCGAAUCUUUGAACGCACAUUGCGCCCGCCAGUAUUCUGGCGGGCAUGCCUGUUCGAGCGUCAUUUCAACCAUCAAGCCCCCGGCUUGUGUUGGGGACCUGCGGCUGCCGCAGGCCCUGAAAACCAGUGGCGGGCUCGCUAGUCACUCCGAGCGUAGUAAUACAUCUCGCUCAGGGCGUGCUGCGGGUUCCGGCCGUUAAAAAGCCUUAUUUACCCAAGGUUGACCUCGGACCAGGUAGGAAGACCCGCUGAACUUAAGCAUAUCAAUAAGCGGAGGA
This 335-nucleotide unclassified non-coding RNA is filed under the name soil metagenome. RNAcentral's name for it is "partial contains 5.8S ribosomal RNA, internal transcribed spacer 2, and large subunit ribosomal RNA". The stretch from base 1 to 120 matches the Rfam family "5.8S ribosomal RNA", at positions 35 to 154 of the family's 154-position model. The record is from RNAcentral.